Molecule: long non-coding RNA, 8070 nt
Filed under: Pocillopora damicornis (cauliflower coral)
Lineage: Eukaryota; Metazoa; Cnidaria; Anthozoa; Scleractinia; Pocilloporidae
Description: uncharacterized LOC113666211, transcript variant X1
Source: RNAcentral
CUUCGAUAAUUUAAAAAAUGGCCGGGUAUGAACCAGAAGAGCCGGAGUUUUCUGACGAUUCUGAAUAUUGUCAAGCAGUUAGAAUAGGGCGGCACGAUAAAGGCGCCGAACUCACAAUCUUCCAUACGCCGAAUGAAGGAUACCAAAUUCACAACGGAUAGCUAGCAGAGCAGAAGACACUUUACAGUCAUGGUAGACGUUAUGACAAGUUGACAAUAGUUACAUCCAGAGGGAAAAAAAUCGUCGUUCGUCGAUAUGAAGACGAUGAAGAAUUCAAGGUAAUGUCAAAGGGAUAUUGGAUAAGUCAAGAGGAUGUCGAACUUAGAAUGACGAAUACAUCAAUUUGACAAGACGUCUGAAUUUGCUAAAGACGACCCUCAAGAUCUUAUACUUUGUGAUUAUUCUACUGAUGUAACUUAGGAAGAUUAUCUUGUCGAUCAAGUAAUAAAAUAGAUACUGUUGUAACAAUAUCCGUGUGCGGAAUUACGUCCGAAACAUUUCGCAACCCAAAAAUAAACGCGACAACAUGCAUGUGUUCAAAAGAAUAUUUCUCCUGUCAUAGCUCCACGAUCAGUGCAGUUCCAAAAAUAGCCUUUCUGUCAUGUUGACAGCUAACGUGCCCUACAAACGCUACUCUAAACAACCGUAGAAUCACGAAAACUGGGACCUUUUCGAUAAAGAAAACUAGCUUGAAUUGAACUUAAGUUAUCGAAGGGUAAACACAUUAAGGAGUAAUCCGAGAUAAGCAACAAAUCGUUGCGAGUUCGCGGAGGGUUCGAGUGAGCGGCGGUCAACAGAAGUAGACAAAACAUAUCUAGAGCAUAGGUGCUUGCCAAAUACAAAUAUCAUGUCUCUGUCAUGCGUAUUACAAUUUUGCUGAUACAUCAUAUUACUUGCGUAAGCAUUACCGUCGAUGCUCGGAAAACAACUAACGAGAGCAAAUUUUUCUCGCUGCGUUUCUCAUCCACGAGUCUAUUAUUUACGACAAAGAUGUAUGGUCAUAGACCCUGGGAACCCGUGUACACUUAUGGAGAAGCAGUUCGUGUUGGAAGAGGCCCCAGUUAUCUUGACGUGAUAAUUCGCUACAAUAACCCCGGUUUUGGACGAGGAGAGUUCAGCGUUGAUCGCGGAAGGAUACUCAAUCAACAGCCGGUAAACGGCGGACGAACACUGCGUAUUCAGACAUACAGCGGACAUGAUUUUCAGAUCACCCGUCGACAAGGAGGAGAAUAUGUUAUGGAAACAUACGGUUACUGGUGCACGAAGAUAUAGCGCGGCUAAAAUUUGUGACGGCUUUGCCGAGAAGAACAACACAUUUAUUCCUAUAUAUUCUACUCAAUCGAAUUUUGUAAUCACUUAAAAGUUAAGAUAUCAUGAAUUCUGUAACAAUAAAAAUUAGAUUAUUACUCUCACAACACAGAUAUGUCUGGCCUCUAUAUGGGCAUAAUUGCAUCGACACGUGUCCCCUUACUUCAUUAAGAAUGGCUAAAAAUAUAUUUCUCAUCUAACUUAAGAAUGCGCAAAAUAAGCACAUAUUGUGGUGUUGUAUUUCUCGCAAGACUAUACAUAGAAGAGAGAUGAAAGCUUACUUGAUCUACGUAUUUAGACUAAAGAGUGUGAUAUCAAAUCAUCAUUUAGAUUCUCAGAUUUGUAGAUGGUCCGAAUAAUUGGGUUUAUAGUGCCCCAACUUCUAAGGCUUGUGUGCGCGGAUAUUGUGAAGUGAUCCAACUAGAAGAGAACACUGCUCUAGAAACUCUCUUCUGAAUUUCAGAAGAUAAGUGACGCCUGGGUUUCUAUACGCUAGUUCAAGUUAAACAUGUAUGAGACCGGUAAUAACCUCGCUAAAUCUAUCAAAUGUCUCAGUUUCACUUGAACAAAUAAAAGAAAUGUCUCCGUCUGAUUAACAUACAUUUUCUCCCCCGCGGUCAAGACGAUUAUACAAAAUCCUAAAAUAGCUUGUCUAGAAUUCAGGCAUCCUGUAUACAAACAACCCAACAAUAUUUUGUCACUGAGCACAAUUUAGUUUGAGUAUGGAUAAGUCUGCGACAAUACUUAAAGUCAUGAAAUUUCUUUAGUCUAACAUGCAAGACGAACUAUAUUUAGCUCAAGUUUAGAUGACAAUACAACGACAUCGAUUGCGCGCACAUUGCGAGAAAACACGCGAGAUAACAUCUCCGCCCACGCGCAGCCCUGCGAUUGUUACGCAUUGAUGCAUUUUAGGUAAGUACUGUCCAUAAGUGACUCUCUGUUUACUCGCUUAUAUUUCAGUUCCGCUUAAACUUUCUGGCAAUGGAACAAGGCGAACCUGGUGUCAACUUCGUCGAGAUCAAAUUGGAAGACAUUUUCAGUUCGCGUUGGGAGAAACUUCGUUCAAGAACACGACGUAGUAGUAUCUUACAUCAACCCAGGUCUAGGACGAGGAGGUUUCCGAGUCAGUCGUGGAGGUAUACGUAGCGAGGUUCCAAUAUCAGGUGGUCGCAGACUAACAAUUGGGUACUCCAUAGGGAAUAAUUUCAAAAGUUUUGAGAUUACUCGCAGUCAAGGAGGAGGAUAUACACUGCACACACACGGCUACUGGAAGGUGGAGUUAGGACGCAAGUUCUUUUAACAGGGAAGACUGAUUAAAGCCAGAAUUUUACUACACACCCAUAAUUUUACGGGAGACCGUAAUAUAUCAAGUGCUGUCCACAAUGGAGCAUCAGUAUCUUUGUGAUAUUUUUUAACACGGAGAUAGCCGCCAUGUUGGUUUGCACAAUCAUUUUGAAACAAUCCUUGUUACUUAAUGUAUAUCUACUGAAAAUAACCUCUUAACGAGGACAUAUGUAAGCAAAAGUGGGAUAGACUAUACUAUUUCUUAUCUGGGUUAGUUUUCUAGUACAUAUUUAUCCGUUCAACGUCUUUUAAAGAAUAUUAAUUUCACUUACAGCGCGCGAACAACUCAGCUUUAGUACAACUCGCUCGAAAGGCGUUCAUUAAGCAGCAAGCUACCGAACAAGUCUGUUUGCAUUUUAAUACUUAACUAGCAUGUUUAUUAGAGCAUUGGAGAGCUAAAAUAAAGAUUCAUUCCACAAGGUGAAUUGUGAAAGUUAUUUAUGUUUCGCAUAGAGAAACCGGAAACCGUUAACAGUAACUAAACACAGCGUUUGAGAACACGCGCGUCUAAACCAAUUGGCGCAAUUCACUCAAACGGAAAUUCUAGAUAUUGAUUGAGCAAACCAAGAAAGCUACCCAUCGUGUCCAACAUCUCUUUCCAUUCUCACCCAUAUAACCAUCACCAAAGUAUUAUGAAAUGUUGAGAACGCGAAAUUUUAUAUUUUUAUUGUCUCUCAACGUUAACGAUCAAUAAUAUAUUACGUCUCUUUAGCAUUGCAGGCUACUCGUAUGCCGUCUCUUCAGACUUAGCGACCUUAGUCCUAUUAGCACUGGGUAUUGUUGUGAUAGCCGUCCGUGAAAGUUAUUCCAAUUUUGAGGCAAUAAAUUUAUCCUUUUGCUUGAAGAGAAAUACCUUGUAUAUGUUUUUCUUCCUCUAUUGUAAGUACUGACCAAUUGGUGUCUUGUAUGACAUAUUGAUGACCGCCCACGCACGCACUGAAUCACAUUUACACGCCACAUAAACAAAGUUUUGACAAAAAGCGUCUUUCUCUUUACAACUUCGCUUGCCUGUGGAUCACAACAAUAAAUCUAUCCUUUUGCUUGAAGAGAAAUACCUUGUAUAGGUCUGUUUUCUUUUACUGUAAGUGCUGACAUACGAUCCAUCUUAAAUAAAAAUUAGCAGCUAAAAAUAAAUCCCUCGACAACCAUAUCAAAAAUGCGCCGAAUAAGCAUUUCUUAACGCGCGCACGUGGACAAACAUACGCACACACCAGGUGCUUCGUUUACAGCUGAGCUAAAAAUGUGAUGACUCAACAAAUUGGGGAAAUACGGGUGGAUAUCAGCGCUAAAAAGCCACUGCCAAAUGCUAUAAAAGCACUGCGUCUCUGUUGUUCGAACAUCGAAGGAUUGCGCUGCUCAAGCUGUUUCAUCAUAAACAAGAACCAAGAUGGCUCAUGUUUGCCACCAACCUACAGACCCAACAAAUUCAUUUGUGGAAAUCGUUCAGAUUGGAAGAAACUUCGUGCAUCAUAAAGAUGUGACGCUUUACUAUAACUCUGGUCAUGGAAGAGGAGAAUUUACAGCACACGGAGGAAAUAUAAGUCAUAUCGAACGCCACGGCAGAGAUCGAAGACUAACAAUUGAAACUAGAAGCGGACACAAAUUUGAUAUCACUCGCCAUAGAGGAGGAGGCUAUCAUUUGAACACUGGAGGAUACUGGCACAAAGAAGAACGUUUAUACCACUAAGCGCGAGGUUUUUCUUAGAGGAAACAUUAUCUUAACCUCUUUAUUAGUAAGUUUGUCACAAGAUCCUAGAAUAGCCCAGGCUGUAAUCGACGAAAAGGUUAAAAUUCUGUAAUCAGUUCAAAGAAAAUAAAAUUUGUAUUGUGUCAUCAAAGAGAGUGCUGUUCUCUUCUUUUGCAUGGUUUCAAUAUCAAAAGUCCCCUUAGACCAUAAAAGGGGAGCUAAAAAUAGGUUUCUUAUCAAUCAGUUUAGAAUGUGCAGCCAAAGCAGAUAUUGUGCCGCGCAGGCGUGGAAAACGUCGAGUAGCGAAAUAUAACAAAACGGAGGAGAAAUAACGAGAAAUCAGGGUUAUACACUGAGUAAAGCAUCACAGGUUAACAACAAAUCACCGUCAACCUCCUCGAGAACCGUAGGCAAUCAAAAUGAGUGGUGGAUACCAUCCCCCAGAGCCAAAAGCGCGCAAAUAUUGUGAAGUAGUCCAAAUAGGCAUCGAAGACGACACUGCUGAAGUAACACUUUUCUACACUCCAGAAAGAGAAUUUCAAGUAAGCAACGGAUACGUAUUGGAAGAUAAAGAGGAGAGCAAUUACGGCCGCCGAUACCGCAAAUUGAAACUCGUUACUUCAAAAGCUAACGUGAUUGAAGUCAGGCGAUAUAGCAACGGAGAAUAUCACGUGGACGCCGACGGGAGAAUUUUUAACUUCGAGGGAAGAAAAGUUGAAGUGUAAAAGAGGAUUGCUCAAGAAAGACUUCGAUUGACAAGAGAUACAGCCCACAGAUCUUGAUUCUAAUUUAACGUAAAUAAAAAAAUCAUGUUAACUGCCAUAAAUUGUCAAAAUGUUUAUACAUUUUCGUGCAUUGGUGAAACUAUUGUGAAAAUAACAGGCAACCAAUUCAGCAAGCCCCAAAAGCCACCAAUCACUGAAUAGUGGGAGGUACCCAGACACUAAAAAAAAAGUUUUAAAAUGUUCUCGGCGAAGCAAAAAUAAAGCAUUCCUGCCAUUCUAGUCUGUUCAGAGUCAGUUUUCUCCUUUCUGUAGCUCCGCCUUCUGAAUAUAAUUUAACCUUUCACGCGUAACACGCACGUUGACGAUGAUUGAAAAAUCAAGUCAAGCAAAUGACCGAUUUCGAUAAUCGCACCACAAACGAUUACUAAGCGGACUGCAUUACCUUUGUUAGGAAAAAGAUAUACUAGAAGAUAUAUGUAAACAAAUCUUGAGUUAAAAUCUGGUUGUGAGAUAGUGACAAAGAGAAAUUGACCCACUGUAAGAAUGUAAACAAACGAACAACACAAGCGCAAGAGUGCGAGGGAAAUUACGUCGCUCGGGAAGCGCGCGCGAACGAGGAAGCGAAACCGAAAGCUCGCCAAUACCAAACAAAGGUCUGGAUAAAACAACUGAGCGAAGCAGCUUUCUCCCAGUGUAUUCGUAUUACGCGCAUUCGACGUUGCCUCCAAGACAGUGCAAACCUUCUCUCUCAGUUUUUUUAAGAGAAAUGGAGCCUAGGCAUGGUGAGAAAGUAUCCCUAGGAAAAUACUGCUGCCAUAACGAUGCGGAUGCCAUACUACUGUACUCUCUGGAUAGAAAAAGUAAGUAACUUUAACUGUUUUGUGUAGCUCUGAAGUCUCAAAUUUACUAACACGAUAUCCGGAAAAUGCAGAGUUCGAAGCCAAGUAUGGACAAAUAACUAAGGAAAAAACCUCUGGGAGAGGCACAACAGUGAAACUGCGAUCGGACAGUGGAUAUACUUAUAAAGUCACUCGGCACGGUAAAGAAGGUAAGUGAAGACUCACUGAUUUCAACCUUUUUAUAGGGAGUUACGCAUUUGUAACGUUGUCGCAGUCAACAGAUAACGCAAUUUCACAUGAUCUCUUUCAGCGUCUCAUUAUGUUAGUGGUCUGAACUAUCGUCAGCUGAAUACUUUCGAAUUCAUUACCUUAGAAUAAUUUUAUCAUUUGCGUAACCCGUUCAUGUUAAGUGCUUCUUCUUGUUCCUCUUCAUCAAAGAUUAUAGCACUGGUUGGCGUACCUGGAAGGAGGUUGAGACUGUUACCUUUUAACUGUGACUGUUCAAGAGCACUGCCAGAGCCACUCUGUUAAACAUUGGAAAAUUGUUGAUUUUAAACGAACCAAGAGCCUAAUAAAGUUUGUAGCAUGGUAUAAAACAUGUAUGACUCUUGAUGAAAUUUUUCUGCAUGAACAUUCAAUGCGUGAAAGAAGCGUGUGCACGCCAGAGCAGAGUCUAUGAACGCUACCCUCGCCCUAUUUUCGAUGGACAUGAAUAUUGUCACUUCAAUCGAAUUUAGUCACUCAUUAGAGGCCAUGAGAGCACACGACGAGUAAAAAAUACUACUGAGUAAGGAUUUGACCACCGCCGUAAGCAACAAAGUUGAUAAAUUUACUUCUUAGAUGAAAUGAAGCUUUUGUCUGUAAUAGCGAGUGAGAUAAGUACUAGCGUGUUAAAAACAUGUUUCAGCAACUACGGCAUUCUAACCGAAACUAUUCCGUAGAAAUCUGAUGAAAAACAUUUCGUAACCAAAUUAACGUUGGUGUUUAGUCAGGGUACGCUUUCGUCACUAUGGGAAAAACUUGAAGUCAAAGUCGAACUCGUGUCUCGGAAACCUAAGAGUCUCAAAUGUCAACUCGCUCAGAUUGAAUCCUACAAAUCCUGAACAUCUUACCCAAAUAAAAAAUGACAUGCAUGCAAUACUUAUUCAUUUCAACUCCACAACUGAUUAAUAACGCGUCACAUUUCAAGGCAGGCAAAAGCUUCUGCGACAACAGAUGAGAGCUGGAAGGAUGAAUACCCCAACCAGGAGGUAAAAUCGAAAAACACGAUGGUUAAACCACAAAUUAACUACACGCGUCAAUUUAGAUGAACACAAAGCCAAAAGAUGCACAUGCUCAGACAUGAAAGCGAGGUUAAAAUGCUCUCUUAUCAGUGGAAAGAGAGAGGUGGAAAUGGCGUAUCUUGUAAAAAUAAAGAGUGACUCGCCUGCGAUUCUGCUCAAAAUCGGUGUAAGAAUUCGACUAUGAUCGAGAGAUAAUUAAAACAAGUGUUCUAAAUUAGCACACUGAUUAAUAAGAAAGCCAAAUCCUAUGAAACGAUAAUGAGAAAAAUACAAACAAAUAAGACGCACGAAUGGGUAGAGACUAACCUUGAGGUUUGCGCGCGUAAAAUGGAGAUUAGAAGGCAACCAAUCAGAAACAGCCACAAGGAUAAAAUUUUCUUAAAAAUUUGUCUGGCGAAGCACUUUUGCUGCAGUGCUUCGACAACACGCAAACAACGUCUUAUUUGCUAUAUCUGCAAAUUUAUUCAAACUAAGAAGAGUAAAAUGAACCCUUUCCAACCUGACGAGCCGCGGAACGACGUCCUUGAAGAAGUUUAUCUAAAACGUUUGGAACAUCGGAAUGCCGAUGUGAAAAUAACGUACGACACGAGACGUAGAGAUUACAAGGUCGUCAAUGGCACUCUUAAAAAAAAGGAGUGUGUAAAUGGGUCUACUAAAUUGACGAUUCUCUCCAACUCCAAGCACCAAUACACUGUCACCCGAAAGCGAGGAGGAGUAUACGAAACUAACUAUAGGAAUUGGAUGGAGGUCGAGAAGACAGAAAUAUGAUGAGAAAUCUUUCGGAAGUCACAAGAAAGCUUUAAAGGCUAUGGAACAUUUACCUAAAAAUAUUUCAAUAGUCGUGAAAAGCAAUAAAUAAAGUUUUGAGGUGAAGUAUUACAGUA